Long non-coding RNA from Ictalurus punctatus (channel catfish), 8059 nucleotides. RefSeq lists it as uncharacterized. NCBI's taxonomy places the organism in Eukaryota, Metazoa, Chordata, Actinopteri, Siluriformes, Ictaluridae. The transcript has 2 exons. The record is from RefSeq and is a predicted model, not a curated record.
CUCCAUUUAGAGGUUGCCAAGUCAACUGUUUUCAGGGGCAAAUAACUAAUGCAUGCUCAAGUCGCUAAGUCACCAGAUGACGUCAUAGAUUGAUUUCCAUUUUAAUGAAUUCAAUGAUUAUUUGCAUAUGCAAAUGAAGAAAGGUUUUCAGAAGACACUUAGAAUAGAAUUGAAUUGAAUAGAGCAUAGAAAGAGCUCUUUGGACACAGCAUUGUAAACUAACUCUAUUUACAAUUUAUUUUAUUUCAACAGAUAAAAUUAAGCAGUGGAAACAGUUCUGGCUGUAAUAACUCACUUUUAUUACUGUACAUAGUGCCAAGAAGAGAGUUUAAAACAAAUAGCAAUGAAGUGAGGGGUGAACAAUGGUGGUGAUCAGUGGUUGGAUAUUGGGAGCGAUGGUGGUCAGUGAUUGGUUCUUUGGAACAACAGUGAUUAAUGAUUGGACAUUGGGUGCAAUGGUUUUUAGUGAUUGGUUCUUGAGAACAAUGGUGAUUAAUGAUUGGAUAUUGGGAGCGAUGGUAGUCAGUAAUUGGUUCUUUGGAACAAUGUUGAUUAAUGAUUAGACAUUGGGAGCGAUGGUGGUCAGUAAUUGUGAAUUUAUCCCUAUUGAGCGAGCCUGUGGCGACGGUGGCAAGGAAAAACUCCCUAAGAAGAUAUGAGGAAGAAACCUUGAAAGGAUCCAGACUCAAAAGGGAACCCAUCCUCAUCUGGGCAAUAACGGAUAGUGUGAAAGUAAAGGGAAGUUCAUUCAUUCAUAUUCUAUGAAGUCUGUUUUGUUGUACUGAUCCACUGGUCACUAAAGCAUUAAGCAAACCCUGUCUCGUUGUAUUAAAACACACUUCAAUUAUAGGUGCACUAUAAUAUAUAAUUAUAGGGCUGUCUAGGGUUCAGAUGUAAUAAAAUUACAUUUUUAGUAGGUGAAAAUGAGACCCUUUGAGAAUAGAUUUGCUCAGUGUACAGAAUUUUGUUGAAUGCUCAUCUGGCCAAGAGGGGUCGCUGUGGAGCAAAAUCUCCAAGGUGUCCAAAUCCCUUGCCUUCAUCCUUUGAAUUCCCGUUAGGCCAUCAUUAGAAAGAAACCACAACAGAGUGACAUGCACCUACCAUAUAGGUGCACUUUAUGUGGUACAUUUGCUGACUGUAACCGUCUGUUGCUAUGCACAACUGUCCACUCUGUACAAUUUUCAAAAUCUCCAAAAUAUUUCAAUGUUCAGCUGGGGUUUUACCUCAUUUUCAUCCUUAUCAAAGCAUUAUUCCCAGCAGGAGAGACAUGUUUCUUUGAACAAAGAACCUUGUAUUGGUUUGCAGGGAUGCCAAGUGUUGCAGACUUUUUAGACAGCUUUAUCAACUUUAUUUAUGAGUUAUUUAUUUAUAUCUCUUGAUGACGGAUUUGCACUUGUUUGACCCUAUGUUCUCAACGGCCAAUCAUUGACCACCAUCGCUCCAAAUGUCCAAUCAUUAAUCACCACUGUUCCCAAGAACAAUCACUGACCAUCAUCGCUCCCAAUGUCCAAUCAUUAAUCAACAUUGUUCCAAAGAACAAUCACUGACCAUCACUCCCUAAGAUGUUUUAAGAGGAAGAAACCUUGAGAGGAACCAGACUCAGAAGGGAACCCAUCCUCAUCUGGGUAACAACAGAUAUUGUGAAAAAGUUCAUUAUUGACUUAUAUGAAGUCUGUUUGGCCUUAGAAGCAGCAGUCUGGAAUUGGAGUAGAUUAGAGCUCCAUCCAGAGGCAGGACAUAGGAAAACGGAUCAGGCAGGUCCGGAGAUCAGAAAGGAUCAGGAUCUCUAAUAUCUCCAUAAAAUCGUGUGUGGCUUGGCAGAAGGAGAGAGGGAGAGAAAAGAUUAUUAGGACUGGGAAUUAGCAUAAUAAAAAGUCUAGUCAGGGUAGGCUUGAGUAAACAAACACGUUUUAAGCCUAGACUUAAACACUGAGACUGUGUCUGAGUCCUGAACACUAAUUGGAAGACUGUUCCAUAACAGUGGGGCUCUAUAAGUGAAAGCUCUCCUACCUGCUGUAGCCUUCACUAUUCGAGGUACCAUCAAAUCGCCCGCAUCUUUUGAUCUAAGUAGGCGUGGCAGAUCAUAGAAAACCAAAAGGUCGCUUAGAUACUGUGGUGCGAGACCGUUUAGUGCUUUAUAGAUUAAUAAAGGUAUUUUAUAAUUAACCACUGAUCACCACCAUUGUUUGUUCACCACUCACUUCAUUGUUCUAAUAAUUAAUCACCAUUGUUCCAAAGAACAAUCACUGACCAUCAUCGCUCCCAAUGUCCAAUCAUUAAUCAACAUUGUUCCAAAGAACAAUCACUGACCAUCAUCGCUCCCAAUGUCCAAUCAUUAAUCAACAUUGUUCCAAAGAACCAAUUACUGACCACCAUCGCUCCCAAUGUCUAAUCAUUAAUCAACAUUGUUCCAAAGAACAAUGGUUAAUUAAUUAAUGGUUAAUUAACGCUUAUGAGCUACUGAUCAGAAGGUUGUGAGUUCAAAUCCUACAACAGCCACUGUUGGGUGCUUGGAGGAAGACCAUUAACCUUCAAAUGUUCAAAUGUAAAUCAAUUUGAAUGAAAGCAUUAGCCAAAUAAAUAAAUGUGAAUUUAAUAAAUAAAUAAAGGUAAAUAAAUGCAGUAAACCGGUGUCACCUCCAGGGUGUAUCCCUGCAUUGUACAGAGCGUUUCUGCGGUAGACUCUGGGUCCAUCACAGGCAAGGCCAGGAUAAAACCCUUACUAAAGAUUAACGAAUGAAUAAAUGAAGUGUCCCAACCCGAAAUGAUCAUUUCAGUCGCUUUUGCGCUAAAACCAGAGGUCAAAUCGAGACCGAGCAGAGUGGGGGGAGGUCUACUUUUUUUUUUUUAUGAAUGUCAUAAAAAAGUACAGCACCAAUAAAUAUGUUAUAUUGAGUUUGAGAUUUAAUAUGCCUUUAUUGUCCUUUACAGCACAGGUGCACUGGAAUUCUUAAACGGUUCUUAGUCGAAUACAGAUUUAUAGACAGAAGAUCAAAGAAAAAGCUUUAAUAGUGCACAAGAAGGCACUGCAUAUGAGAAACGCGAUAAAUAUCACACAGUUUAGUGGAGAAAUAGAGAGUUGAUAUUGCGGCACCGGCCGUUUUAUUAGAAACAGUUCAUUAGUGCAAUUAUGCAAUCAGCCUAUCAUGUGGCAGCAGCGCAAUGCAUAGAAUCAUACGGAUACAGGUUAACAGCUUCAUUUAAUCUUCACAUCAAACAUCAGAAUGUCGGGAAAUUCGCAGUGAUCGCCGUGACUUUGACCAUGGCGUGUUUGUUGGUGUCAGAUGGGCUGGUUUGAGUAUUUCAGAGACUGCUGAUCUUCCGGGAUUUUCACAAACAACAGUUUCUAGAGUUUACACAGAAUGCAGCGAAAAACCAAAAAGCAUCCAGUGAGCAGGAGUUCUGUGAGUGGAAAUGUCUUGUUGAUGAGAGAGAGAGGGCAGACUUAAUCAAGUUGACAAGGAAGGCUGCAGUAACACAGAUAACCACAUUUUUCAGUCAUGAUGAGCAGAAAGGCAUCUCAGGACACACAACACAUCAAGGUGAGCGGGAUACAACAGAAGAAGACUACAUGAGGUGAAGAAGAACAGGAAUCGGAGGCUACAAUGGGCACAGUCUCACUGAAACUGGACAGCUGAAAAUUGGAAAAAAUGUUGCCUGGUCUGAUGAAUCUUGAUUUCUGCUGCAACAUGCAGAUGGCAUAGUCAGAAUGUAGCAUCAAUAGCAUGAACCCAUGGACCCAUAGUGGUGGUGUAAUGGUGUGGGGAAUGUUCUCUUAUUACAAAUCAAGCAAUGUUUGAAUGCCACAGCACAUCAGAGCUGUCUGAGUAUUGUUGCCGACCAUGUGCAUCCUAUUAUGGUCACGAUUUACCCAUCUUCUAAUGGGUACUUCCAAUUGGUACCGCUUCACGCUACAUAUCACAAGUCAUCGCAAACUGGUUCCAUGAACAUGACAGUGAGAUCUGAACUAUACAGCACAUUUGGGAUACGAUAGUACAGGAGAUUUGCAACAUAAAUGUGGAGCUGACAAAUUUGCAGCAAUUAUGUGAUGUCAACAUGGACCAGAAUCUCAGAGAAAUGUUUCCAAUACCUUGUGGAGUCCAUGCCAUGAAGAAUUAAGGCUGUUCUGGUAACAAAGGGGCUUCCUACCCAGUAGUAAUUGGUGUUCUUAGUGCAACUGCGAAUCACAGUUUUAUAUUAAUGUGCUCCUUCUAGUAUGAAAUUGUUUCUGUAGUAACAGCUCAUUCACUGGGUUUCGUAUGAUGGAAGUUUUUAAAAAAAAAAUUAUAAUCAUUGAUAUGCUAUAGAGUUCUCUGAAGAGGCGUUUAUUUAUUCAUGGGAGCAAUCUCCAGUGUCAGUGCUUCGUAACAGUCAGCAGUCAAGCUGUAACUUUACAUUAUCUGACACAGAAUAAAGACGUGGCAUGAGAAGCUGUUUUUUUUUUUUCUUUUUUUUUUCGUCUUAUUAAAUUCAAGACAAAGACUGGUGUGGGAACAACUAUUUUUGUAGCUGCUGUAGCAAAAGUGAUGACAGGAAGUAAUUCACAGACAUGCCACAACAUUAAAUACUGAGUCUUUAUUGGUCAGAUAUACAUAUGCAUGGUGAAAUUCUUUUCUUUGCAUACCCCAGCAUGUCAGGAAGCUGGGGUCAGAGCACAGGGUCAGCCAUGAUACAGCGCCCCUGAUGUAACUAUGGACUGAUGAAAAAAUACACGUUUAAUAAAAAUAAAAAUUUAAAAAAGUGGUAGCAUUGGCAAAUUGCUACAGUAUAUGAAGGGAAAAAAACACUUUGGGAUGUGGUGUAAUAGGAAAAUAAUAACCUCAUAUAACACUGCAUUUCUAUGGGGGGCCCCCUGGUGGCUCGGGGUCCUAGAUGACUGCUUACAUCACAUGCAGCUAAAAAUGGUCUUGGCUACAUUGUCCUGAAGUAGAAAAUAUUUGUGAGUCAUGAUGCACUCUGGGUCUAAAAACAUCCGAGAUUGUAUUCGGUGUCAUGCAGUUUAUGUGUCAGAUAGAAGGGGUCGCAAAGGAAAGCACAGGGUCCUACAGCCCUCCUCUUCUGGUUGAUCUCCCAUUGUGAAUUCUACUCUGAGGAUCCUUUUGUGUUCUAAAAAGGGUUCCAUUUUAAUAAGCAUUUCCCAUAUUUCUCUUUAUGUCAUAAUAUACCUUACUACAGCCAAGUUUUGUCAGUUUUGUAUGUUGGUAUGAGCGUAGAAGUGUCUUAAAGGAGAAAUGAAUGUGGAAAACAAAACUUGGAGAGUGAUCUGGUCUUUUAGAUUUAUAUAUACCGAUCUCAACAGGUUCCUCUGUAACUGCAAUGAUUACCAUAUACAAGCAAUAUCAUUUGCUAUACUGCAACAAAAAAAUGGAAAAUGGUCUCUCAAACAGUACCCUUCUGUACUACUCUAGGCUGUCUAGUGUGUUCACAUUGAGUACACAAAUAGAAUUCAAUACAAAACAAAACCCCAACGGUGUACUAUAUUAGCCGAGGAAAUGAAGUGUGCUGAACAUGUUUGGCAGUACCCUGUCCCAUCAUCAUGAGAAAACAAAACAAAACAAACAAACAAACGAAAAGGCAGGGCAACUUGUCGUAUUUGGAUUGAACCAACCUGUCAUGAGCAAUCUUAUCAGAAAGCUGCUCUUUCACUCAUUAGUAAAUAUCAUAUCAUAUUUACAGUUUGUAAUUACAGUCACCUCAGUAUACUUUUGUCUUAUGGUAAUUUUGUAGUAAUCUUAUAUGUAGCUAUGGAACUUGAACUAAAACCCACACUACGUUUCUUUACUCUUUAAUCAAGCGUUGUUUUCUUGCAAACAGUCACCCCAGUUGAUUAGCUAAGCAUGUUUUGGAAGACCUUUGCCACAAAGGCUUUCUAUUAUUAGGAGCACAUGCAGAGGCAUGGUUCAAAGUCUUUGGUUGUUUCUGGCUAGCAGCUAUUUGUAAAACAACAUUACUUGUGUCCUUGAACUUCAUUAAGCAAACUAUCCAUCCCUGACCAAAUACUGACCAGUGCAGCAAGGCAGCAGUGUGCUCCGAUAGAUGAUGAAAUAUGCAGUAAUAUCCAGACCUGUUGGCUAAAAAAAUGCUUUGCUAAAUGUUUGCCCUCCUGCUCGGAUGUGAGCCAGAGUGAAUGGUUAUCCUAAUUCGUCUGCUUGAUUACACUCCAAAUGUGACCACAUCAUUACAUAACAGCUGUAUCGACAUGACAUUUAUAGUUGCAAUCAAAAUUAUUCAACCCCCAUUGGAAAUCAGGUUGAUUGUCAAAAUUUCCAGACUUUCAUCUGUUUGCAGUGAACAAAUCACCCUAAAGCAGCUGAAAUAGUCCAACACAACGAAUGUUUCAAGUAGUUUCUCCAAAUUCAACUGAAAAUGCAACUUAUAAUGAUUUCUCCAGUCUUAAAAUUAUUCAACCCCUUCAUGGCAAGCAUCUUUAGUACUUUAGUAGAGCGCCCUUUUGCUGUUAUGACCUGCUGCAAACGAGAUGGAUAGCCAGACACCAGCUUCUGGUAGCGUUCCUGAGGAAUCUUAGCCCAUUACUCAUGAUCAAUGGCCUCCAGUGGAGUAAUAUUCUUGUGUUUGCGUGCUGCAACCGCUGUCUUCUAAAUCCCACCAGAGAUUUGGUUGGUUGUUGGUUACUGAAUACACACUCCAUGCAAACAUCAGCCUGAAAGGAUUUGCCAAUUUCAGAUUCAAUUCAGUUUCACUUGAAUUAUUUAUUUUAAGUGAGAUUUUUAUGAGGAACUUGACUUGUGUAAAUCAAUCAAAUUCAAUGAUGUUUAAAAGAAAGAAACAUCGUUUUUUUUCUUCUUGCACUAGAGCUACAAGGCGAAUGUAGGUCGCAAGUAAUGGAAUGUGUCACUGGAAAUCAAUCUGUAAACCUCCGCCUCAAACCACAUCUAGCUCUUCAGCGAUGUCACACAGACGUACUGAUGUGAUUUAGGACACAGUGGUACUACCUGUUAUAUACCGUCUAUAAAUAUGAACACAACUUCACUGAAUACUGGAGCAUUAUGGGAUGGCCAUGUUGGACAGACUGAAUGCUUAUAGCUUUAACAGAAAGCUGGUAGCGUUAUGUGGAACGGUAACAUUCAAAUAAUUGUGACUUCUGAAGGCAACUGGUUGCACCAUAACUAAUUGAGGGGGUUCACAGCAGCAGGACUGCUAUAACAUUUAAGCUGUCCAGUUUCGGUGAGUCUGUACCCAUGACAGCCUCAGAUUCCUGUUCUUAGCUGACAGGAGUGGAACCGGAUGUUGUCUUCUACUGCUGUAGCUCAUCCACCUCAAGGUUUGAUGUUUUGUGCAUGCUAAGAUGCUUUUCUGCUCAACACAGUUGUAAAGAGUGAUUAUUUGAGUUACUAUAGACUUCCUGCCAGCUUGAACCAGUCUGGUCAUUCUUCUCUGGUCUGAUCUCUCUCAUCGACAGGGUGUUUCAGCCUGCAGACCUUCUACUCACAGGAUGGUUUUUUUUUUGUUGUUUUUUUUUUUUUGCACCCUUCUGUGUAAACUCUACAAACUGUUGUGUGUGAAAAUCCCAGGAGAUCAGCAGUUUCUGAAAUACUCAAACCAGCCCAUCUGGCACCAACAAUGGUUAUAGUCACAAAGAUCACCCCCCCCCCCCCCCCCAUUUUGAUGUUUGAUGUGAACAUUAACUGAAACUCUUGACCUGUAUCUGCAUGAUUUUCUGUGCUGCCGCCACAUGAUUGAAUGAUUAGAUGAAUGAAUUAUUAUGAAUGAUUAGAUGUAUCUGUUUUUUCAUAUUUAUCUCGUAUCUGUUAUUUGGUAUGUAACAUGUGGAAGGCAUGUUGAGAGACAGAAACCUGACCUUUAUCCAAAUCCUGCAUGGAUGCAUGACUCUCUGAUAACUUUCCACUAAUUUGUUGAAUUACGGUUGUGCCCAAGUCACAAAACCUACAAAACCAGGACAUUGCUAUGAGUUUUUCUCCACUCAUUUAUCACACAGAGUAGAAUUUCCAGCUCUCGGUGUAUGUAUAUAAACCUAUACAGGCCUAUAGGGAAGUCCUAUUUUUAGCAAUGGUAAUAUAUAAAGUUCUGACAGGUGACA